Long non-coding RNA from Gorilla gorilla gorilla (western lowland gorilla), 13591 nucleotides. RefSeq lists it as uncharacterized. The record is from RefSeq and is a predicted model, not a curated record. NCBI's taxonomy places the organism in Eukaryota, Metazoa, Chordata, Mammalia, Primates, Hominidae. The transcript is spliced from 3 exons.
GUUCUCUCCUUUUUUAAUCUUUGAUAAUAAAUAAAGACACAUCACAAAUAACUCAGACUUUGAAAUGUAGUGCCAUGGUGGAAAUAGCAUGCUUUGAGGUCAGAUAGACCUGAGUUACAACCCUAGGUUGCCACUUACUACAUAUGCAGCCUUGGAUAAGUGAUUUAACCUCUCUGCAUAUCAGUUUUCUCAUAAGUAAAAUGGGAAUAGUAACAUUCAUCUUACAGUUGAUGUGAGGAUUAAAUAAGAUCAUAUAUAUCAAGUACACACCAAAGUGGCUGGCAUAUACAAAGUUUUAUACAAUAUGUACACUUGUACACAGCAGAAUUUCUGUAAGGGAAAGAACUGAAGACCUGGGAACCCACGAACAGAUUGUAAGCUUCUGAAUAAUUGCUAGCUUUUUUCAUGAGAAUAGGAUUAGAAGUUUCAUCAGAUCAGAGCUAUAAGCUCUAUGGUAUUUCUAUUACUAACAUUCUUUUAAUAUUUAAUUACACUGGGUUUAUACCUGUGAGUGUUGCAAAAAGAAGGUCAUCGAGCUUUUCACCAGGCCAAAGAGAAUCCCAUGUAUAAAGUUGUCUGCCACUACUUAACAAACUCAUAGCAUUUUAGGAGGGUUACAGUGUAGGAAGGAUGCUUUUUUGCCCUUAGUGGGGAAGAGUAGGUUAUUAACUGACAUAAUGGAGUCAGGCAAAAGAAAGCUAUUUGUAAUCUGUACCACUUCAGAGACCUGGAAUGAAACAGGAGGAGGCUUAUAAUUCACAGUAUGAGAGUAAAUAACCUUAAUGGAAUGUUUGGGUGUCUGGAUCCCCGGAGUUUUUUUCAGCACAAGUGACAUAAGUGUGAGUUUGCAGGGAAUAAGGGCAUCUUUUUUUUUCAGCACACUGCCAAGGGAAAUUAUGUAUAGAACUUCUGCUUAUGCAUGCAUUACAAGAGUGAAGAAUUUAAAAUCUUUUUCACCCAGGAUAAGAACUUAUUUCUUUUCUAGUUCUUCUCCCAAGCCUUCUUCUUAGCAGUCCAGGUGCCACUGUAUGUGUCUCCCUCAGAAUACUGACCUGUCUGAGAGAUGCAGGAAAUGUGAAAACUGCUAUGUUUCCGUUUCCACAGCAAGAGAUGAUGAGCCUUCUGGAUAAUCUGCAAGGUUGAAACGUGAAGAUGAUCAAAUGUCCCCGUGCCUUAUAUGGCCUUUUGGGAGAGCACACUCUGAAUCAGCUUGCUGAAUGUACAGGUUAUUUGUCAUGGCAGCAUAAAGUACCAGAUUGAAAACAAAUCAGAAAUUUCUUCUACUGUGGGCAGUAUUAAUGGGUGUCAUAUAAAGAAAGUUUUAUCCAAAUAACGAAAGAGGAAAUAGGCUACAAUAUAUAAAACAUUGAAUAUACUAGAGUCUGAUGUCAGUAUUUUUUCAGGACAAGUGUUCAGCAUUUCACAGGAAGGAGAUUAAUUCCCCCCAGUCCUUAUUAUCAUUAACACUGGAAGGUUGUAUUAGCACACUCAAGAAAAUUUUUGUUUUUGUAUUAUAUUUUUACUUGAUAAAAAUAUGCCUUCUAGGAUAUAUUCUAUAAAAAUUAUCAAAAUAAAGAGGCAAUUUAUAGUCACAUUAGCUCAAGGGAAAAGCUGCUGUUUAGUUCAGAAAAGUUCAGUUCUUUUAUUGCUAGAUUUUUUUUUGAGACAGGGUCUUACUCUGUUGCCCAGGCUGGAGUGCAGUUGUGUGGUCAGUUUACUCCAGCCUUGACCUCCUGGGCUCAAGCGAUCCUCCCACCUCUCAGCCUCCUGAGUAGCUGGGACUACAGAUGCACACCACGACACCCAGUUAAUUUUUGUAGUUUUUCAUAGAGAAGAGGUUUCACUAUGUUGCCCAGGCUGGUCUCAAACUCCUGGGCUCAAGCAGUCUGCCAGCCUCAAUCUCCCACAGUGCUGGGAUUACAGGCAUGAGCCACUGCACCUGGCCAGCUGGAUUCUUUUUAAAUUAUUUUUCUUGUCAUGGUUACUAUACUGAUAGAGAGUAACUGGAAUAAGCUAUGCAUAAUUAUCAUGUACCCCGGGGCUUGAUUGUGACCUGGAGCUCUCUACUGGAUUUUCAAACCAGGCUGAAAGAAGAGCUCAGUGAGGAGAGAAACUGAUUUUACCUUCCUUACUAGGAAAUUAAGGAACUACACCUAAUGGAUAGAGGUCAUAUAAUUAAAACUGACAGUUCCUCUUUGGAAGUUUCCACAUUUGGGAUGGGCAGUGCUCCCAUUGUUUACUAGAUCCUAGGAAAAACAGAGCUUAAGGCACCAUCUACUACUGAAAAGAAGAUAGUGACCUAGUGAGGAAAAAAACUGAAAUCCAACAGGCAAAUUACAAAGAAUCUCUAAGCAAACAUAAUGAAUAAAAACCAAAACAAGACAGACAGAGAAGACUGGAAUAAAUAACUAAUUCUUUAAUGCAAAAACAGACAUGCAUCCACAAGAAGUAAUACUGAACAGGGAACCAUAACCUUCCCAAAUGGACAAAGCAAGGAACUAGUGACUGACCCUAAUGAGACAGCAAUAUUUGAGCCCUCUGAUCAGCAAUUCAAAAUGGCAAUAUUAUGGAAACUCAGUGAUUUCCAAGAUAACACAGAGAAGCAAUUCAGAAAUUUAUCAGAAAUAGUUAAUAAAAAAUUUAAAUAGAAAAAAUCAGACAGAAAUCAUGAAACUUAGAAAUACAUUUGCUAAUCUGAAAAAAAUCAUUAGAGGCUCUCAAUAACAAAAUGGAGCUGAAGAAAGAAUCAGUGAGCUCAAAGAAAAGCUUUUUGAAAAUAAAGGAGAGAAAAAGAAUGAAAAGGAAAAGAGAUCACCUACAAGAUACAGAAAACUGCCUCAAAACAUCAAACGUAAGAAUUAUUUGUGUACAAGAGGGAGUUGAGCAAGAGCAAGGGGAUUGAAAGCAUAAUUCAAUAAAUAAUAGCAAAAACUUUCCAAAACUUGAGAAAGAUAAAUAUCCAGGUAUAGGAAGGUCAGAGCACACCAAAAGAUUCAACCAAAAUCGUCUACCCCAAAGACACAUAAUAGUCAAACUACCCCAAGGCAUAUAAUAGUCAAACUCUCAAAGGUCAAGGUCAAAGAGAAGAUCCUAAAUACAGCAAGAGAAAAGAUGUGCAAAACAUAUAAAGGAGCUUCAAUUUAUUUGGCAACAGACUUCUCAAUGGAAACCACACAGGCCAGGAGGGAGUAGGAUGACAUUUUCAAACUACUGAGGGGCAGGGAGCAGGAAGCUGUCAUCCAAGAAUACUGUAUCCAGCAAAGUUAUCCUUCAAAAAUAAAGCAGAGAUAAAGUCUUUCCCAGAUAAACAAAAGCUGAGAGAAUUAACCAUCACCAGACCAAUCUUACAAGAAAUGGUAAAGGAGCUUUUCAAUUUGAAAGAAUGCAAAAAGAAAACAUUUGAAGGUACACAAUCCCCUGGCAAAAUUAAGUACAUGGACAAACCCAGAGUACUCUACUACUGUAAUUGUGUAAUCAACUCAAAACUCUAGUAUGAAGCCCAGAAGACAAAUCUAUCAAAAACAAUAAUCACUGAAGAAACCUGUUAAAAGAUAGGUAGUAUACAAAUACAUAAGUAGAGAUGAUUAAAAUCAAAACGUAGAGGGGAUGAAGUUAAAUUGUAGAAUUUUUUUCUUUGUUUCUAUUAUUUUCAUUGUGAUUUAAGAAAAGCUGUCCUCUCUUUAAAAUAACUUGUUACAUCUAUGACAUAUUUUUUGGUAAGCCUCAUGAUAGCCAGAAUGCAAAAACCUGUAAUAGAUUCACUAAAAAUAAAAAACAAUUAAAACUUAAUGCCAGAGAAAAUAACACAGCUACAAAGGAAGAAAGAAAGAAGGGAAGAGAGGAGCUGCAAAACCAGCAGAAAACAAGCAAAAAAGGGCAGUAGAAAGUCCUUACUUGCCAAUAACAACAUUGAAUGUAAAUGGGUUCAAUUCUCCAAUUAAAAGCAUAGAAGAGACUGGGUGGAGCAAGAUGGCUGAAUAGAUGCCUCCACCAAUCAUCCUCCCCACAGCAACACCAAAUUGAGCAACUACUUAGACAAAAAGCACCUUCAUAAGAAUCAAAAAUCAUGUGAGAGAUCACAGUACCUGGUUUCAGCAUCAUUUUAAGGAAAGAGGCACUGAAGAGGGUAGGGAAGACAGUCUUGAAUUGCCUACACCACCCCUCUCCCAUCUCCUAGCAGUGGUUGCAUGGUAUAGAGACAGACUCUGUGAACUUGGGAGAGGGAGAGGGCAGUGACUGUGGCAGUUUGUGUUGGAACUCAGUGCUGCCCUGUCACAGCAGAAAGCAAUACUGGGCAGAACUCAGCUGGUGCCCACAGAGGGAACAUUUAGACAAGCCCUAAUCAGAUAGGAAAUGCCAAUCCCAGUGGUCAGAACCUGAGUUCUAGAAAGUACCGCUACUGGAAGCUGAGGCUCUGGGGUCCUAAAUAAACUUGAAAGGCAGUCUAGGGCACAAGGACUGCAAUUCCUGAGCAAAUCCUGGUGCUUUGCUGGGCUCGAAGCCAGUGAAUGUGGGGUACACAUGACCUAGUGACCACCAGCCAAGGUGGUCAAGGGAUUGCUUGUGUAACCCCUCCCACAAUGUCAGGCAGUGCAGCUUGCAGCUCUAGGAGAGACUCCUUCCUUCUGCUUGAGGAGGGAGAAGGGAGAAUAGAGGACUUUGUCUUGUAACUUGAAUACCAACUUAGCCACAGUAGGAUAGGGUACCAGGAAGAGUCCUGAGGCCUCAAUUUUAGGUCCUAGCUCAUGGGUGACAUUACUAGACACACGCUGUGCCAGAAGGGAACAUGCUGUAUUAAAGUGAAAGACCCAGUCCUGCAGGAUUUAUCACCUGCUAACUAAAGAGCCAUUGGGCCCCGAAUAGUCACUAGAGGUAGCCAGGCAGUACUUACCAUGGGCCUUGGGUGAGAUUCAGAGAUAUGCUACCUUUAGGUGUCACCCAACAUAUGCACAGCUAUGGUGACGAUAAGCAGAGACUCAUUCUGCUUGAUAAAAGCAAAGGGAAGAUAAAGGAGACUUUGACUUGCAGGUUAGGUACCAGCUUGGCCACAGUGAGGAAGAGCACCAAGCAGGCUCUUGGGUUCCCCAGUUCUAGGCCUUGACUCUUGAAUGGCAUUUCUAUACCUACCCAGGGCCAGAGUGCAGCUCACUGCCGUGAAGGGUGAGUCCCAGAUCAGACAGGAUUCACCAUAUCCUUAUUGAAGAGCCCUUGGGCCUUGAGUGAACAUUGCCAGUAGCCAGGCAGUAGGUGCUGUGGGCCUGGGGCAGUAGUGGCCACAGCGAGAUAACUGUGUAUUUGUGGAAAGGGGAGGGAAGAGUGAAAAGGACUUUGUCUUCUGGCUUUGGUGCCUGCUCAGCCACAUUGGAACAGAGCACCAGGUUGAUACUUAAGGUUUCUGAAUCUAAGUGCUGACUCCCAGAUGGCAUCUCUGGAACUGCCUGGAACCUGGGGGAAUUCGCUGCCCAGAAGGGAAGAACAGAAACCUGGCUGGCUUUGCAACCUGCUGAUUGUAGAGCCCUAGGGCCUUGAGAGAAUAUAGGCAGUAGUUAUGAUGGGUCUUGGGUGAGAAUCAGUGCUGUACAGGCUUCAGGGCUGACCCAGCACAGCCCUAGUGGUGGUGGCCACAGGGGCACUUGUGUUACCCCUCUCCUAGCUCCAGGCAGCUCAGCACAGAAAGAGACUUUGUUUGUUUGGGGGAAAGUAAGGGAAGAGAAUGAGAACCUCCAUCUGGUAAUCCAUGGAAUUCUUCAGGAUCUUAUCCAACACCACCAAGAUGGUAUUUAUAUGAGUAUGCAAGAGCCACAGCAUUACUGGGCUUGAGGAGCCACCAAAUGUGCAUAUAAUGCAAUGAUCAAAGACUUAGAUCACAACACCCAAAUCCCUGUGAAUAUUCGGAAAGCCUUCCCAGGGAGGACAAGCAUAAACAGGCACAGACUGUGAAGACAACAAUAAAUAUCUAACUCUUCAAUGCCUAGACACUGAUGAACAGCCACAGUAUCAAGACCAUCCAGGAAAAGAUGCCUUUACCAAACAAAGUAAAUUAAGCAUAAUGACCAAUCUCAGAGAGACUGAGAUAGUAGACCUUUCAGACAGGAGAACUCAAAAUAGCUGUUUUAAGGAAGCUCAGUGAAAAUCAAGAUAAUACAGAGAAGGAAUUCAGAAUCUUACCAGACAAAUUUUAAAAUGGGAUGGAAAUAAUUAAAAGGAACCAAGCAGAAAUUCUUGAGCUGAAAAAUUCAAUUGAAUACUGACGAAUGCAAAAGGGUUUCUUAACAGCAGAAUUGACUAAACAGAAGAAAGAAUUAGUGAGCUUGAAGACAGGCUACUUGAAAAUACACAUAGAGAAGAGACAAAAAAAGGAAAAAAGAAAAAAGCACACUCACAAGAUCUAGAAAAUAGCCUAAAACUGGCAAAUCUAAGAGUUAUUGGACUUAAAGAGGAGGUAGAGAGAAAGAUAGGGGUAGAAAGUUUAUUCAAAGGAAUAAUGACAGAAUUUCCCAAACCUAGAGAAUGACAUUAAUAUUCAAUUACAAGAAGGUGAUAGAAGACCAAACAGAUUUAAGCCAAAUAAGACUACAUCGAGACAUCUGAUAAUAAAACUUCCAAAGGUGACAAAUAAGGAAAGGAUCCUAAAAGCAGCAAGAAACAACAUACAAUGGCACUUCAACAUAUCUCGCAGCAGACUUUUCAGUGGAAACCUCACAGGCCAGGAGAGACUGGCAUGACAUAUUUAAAGUGUUGAAGGAAUAAAAUCCCUUUUUACCCUAGAAUAGUAUAUAUAGCAAAAAAUAUUCUUCAAACAUGUAGGAGAAAUAAAGACUUUCCCAGAAAAACAAAAACUGAAGCAUCAACAGCAGAAGUGUUCUAUAAGAAAUGCUAAAAGGAGUUCUUUGAUGUGAAAGAAAAGAAUGUUAAUGAGCAAAAAAUAAAAAUUUGAAGGUACAAAACUCACUGGUAAUAGCGCACAGAAAACACAGAAUAUUGUAACACUGUAGGUGUGAUAUGUAAACUACUCAUAUCUUGAGUAGAAAGACUAAAAGAUGAACUGAUCAAAAAUAACUAUAACAACUUCUGAAGGCAUAGGCAGUACAAUAAGAUACAAAUAGACAUAAAAAAAUUAAAAGCAUGAGGAUGAAGUUCAUUUGCAGUUUUUAUUAGUUUUAUCUUUGUUUGUUUAUGCAAUUAGUGUUGUCAUCAGUUUAAAAUAAUGGGUUAUAUUAUUGCAAGCCUUACAGUUUGUAUUAGUCAGGGUUCCCUAGAGGGACAGAACUAAUGGAAUAUAUCUAUAGGGGAAUUUAUUAAGCAUUAACUCACAUGAUCACAAGGUCUCAAAAUAGGCUGUCUGCAGGCUGAGGAGCAAGGAGAGCCAAUCCGAGUUCCAAAACUGAAGAACUUGGAGUCCGACAUUCAAGGACAGAAAGCAUCCAGCACUAGAGAAUGAUGUAGGCUAGGAGGCUAGGCCAGUCUCUUUUUUCACAUUUUUCUGUCUGUUUAUAUUCUAGCCACACUGACAGCUGAUUAGAUUGUGCCUACUCAAAUUAAGGGUGGGCCUGCCUUUCCCAGCCCACCAACUCAAAUGUUAAUCUCCUUUGGCAACACUGUCACAGAAAUACCCAGGAUCAAUACUUUGUAUUCUUCAGUCCAAUCAAGUUGACCAGUAUUAACCAUCACAAGUCUACCUUUUGUCAACUUGAACCCAUACACAUCUCCUGAGAUCAUACAUAAUAUUCAAAUAUAGAUGAUAAUAAGGUCAUAGUUACACCAAACAUAAUACAACUAUCCUUUGUACAACUGCAACUGCAUCAAUCCCCAACCCAAAUACUAUUACAUAAAGUUAACAAUACUUAAAUGUUGAUGUGAAGUCAAUAAAUCUUAUGUCACAUGAUAAAGGAGAAAGGAAAUAAAAUGAAGAUAUUUUCUUAGUACAAGUGUAUAUACGCAUAAACGUUUUUUUAACAAAAGAAGGAGGAAAUACUCAUGACAAUUACAGUCUUCAUUUUUCCAGCUGGUCACGUGGUUGUAGCUGGUACUGACGACUGCUUUCUACUACCCAUUCUGUAUUCCCUUUGCCUUCAGGAAGCACUUCAGCAGGUCAUGGUUUUUUUUUUUUCCUGAUAAAGUGACCCAAACCUUCAUUCCUGAAGGGUCUGGGUCAUUUGUAGUCCUGCCUGGAUUGUGCUGUUGUAGUUUCCCAUUGACCAUAAUCACAGGGCAUGGUAAUACUAACAGACGCCCUAAUGGAUCUCCUGUAUUCCAUGCAUACUCUUCCUUACAUCCAUUGUGCAGUAGUAGACUGAUUUCAUCUUGAUAGUCUGGGUCAAUCACCCCAGACAACACUGUAACUCCAUUCUUAGCCUGUUGACUUAAAGGUAGGAGAAGCCCAAAAUGUUCAGGUGGCAAUCAUAACUUCCUGUUUAAUGGAAUCCUUGUUGUGUCUCCUGGUGGCAGUGUUCCUCCCUCUGAAAUAAGACUCUCACUCAGGGCAAUCUUAGCAGAUUUGAGACUCAGUAUCUGCUUCUGAAGCCAGGAGACAGAAUCCUUGAGUUCAUCAUUUUCCUUCACCAGUUUUUCCACUGAACUUAGGAGCAGCCAACCAGCUUCAUUAUGUUCCUUGGUUCUCCACAUAAGGUCAAAAGUAUUAUGUAUAGAGUCACUAAACUCCUUGCCUCUCAUGAGCAAUGAAUCAGGAGUGUCGAGUGUAUUUAUUUUGCUAACUCUCUAAACAGUUCAUGCCAAGGACCAUCAGUGUUCUCCAUACUAUUAGAAGUAGAGUCCUUAACAUUUUUGUGUCUAAUCAUAUUAAGCAGCCAAUUCCAGAAACCCCCAAACCAACAAAAGAACUCCAUCCUUAAUAUUCUGUUCUUCUAGAACCACUGCUGGUACCAAAAUCUGUAUUAGUCAGCGUUCUCUAGAGAAACAGAACUAAUGGAAUUAUAUAUAUGAGUUUAUUAAGUAUUAUACCACCACAAGGUCCACAAUAGGCUGUCUUCAGGCUGAGGAGCAAGGAGAGCCAAUCCGAGUUCCAAAACUGAAGAACUUGGAGUCUGAUGUUUGAGGGCACAAAGCAUCCAGCAUGGGAGAAAGAUGUAGGCUGGGAGGCUAGGACAGUCUAUCUUUUCACAUUUUUUUGCCUGCUUAUAUUCUAGCUGCGCUGGCAGCUGAUUAGAUUGUGCCCACCCAAAUUAAGAAUGAGUCUGCUGUUCCCAACCCACUGAUUCUCAAAUGUUAACCUCCUUUGGCAACACCAUCACAGACACACCGAAGAUCAAUACUUUGUAUCCUUCAAUCCACUCAAGCAAUCAAGUUGACACUCAGUACUAACCAUCAUAUGGUUACUGCAAAUAAAAAAACAUAUUACAGAUACACAAAAAAUAAAAAGCAAGAAAUUAAAACAUACCACAAGAGAAAAUCACCUUUACUUAAAAGAAGUCAGGAAGGACAAAAAACAAAAACAAAAACAAAACAAAACAAAACAAAAACCCAUGAAACAGCCAGAAAACAAGUAACAGAAUGGUAGGAGCAAGCUCUUUUCAAUAAUAACAUUGAAUGUAAAUGGAGUAAACUCUAAUCAAAAGAGAAAAAGUGGCUGAAUGGAUGAAAAAAAAAAACUAGACCCGAUGAUCUAUUACCUACAAGAAACACCUUUCAUCUAUAAAGACACAAAUAGACUGAAAAUAAAGGAAUGGAAAAAGAUAUUCCAUGCCAGUGAAAACAAAAACAGAGCAUGUGUAGCUACAAAAAUAUCAGAGAAAAUACAUUUCAAGACAAAAACUAUAAGAAGACACAAGGAAGGUGAUUAUAUAAUGAUAAAGGGGUCGAUUCAGCAGGAGAAUAUAACAAUUCUAAGUAUACUUACACUCAACACUGGAACACCCAGAGGUAUAAAGCAAAUAUUAUUAGAGCUUAACAGAGAAAGACUCCAAAACAAUAACAGCUGGAGACUUCAAUACCCCACCUUCAACAUUGAACAGAUCACCCAGACAGAAAAUCAACAAAGUAACAUCAGAUAAUAUGCACCACAGAUGAAGUGAACCUAAAAAUAUUUACAGAACAUUUCAUCCAACAGCUGCAGAAUACAUAUUCUUCUCUUUGGCACAUGGAUCAUUCUGAAGAACAGACCAUGUGUUAGAUGACAAGUGUUAAAAAAAUUUAACAAGUGAAAUAAUAUCAAAUCCCUUAUAUGACCACAGUGGAAUAAAAUUAGAAAUCAAUAACAAGAGGAAGUUUGGAAAGUAUAUAGACACAUGGAAAUUAAAUAAUAUGCUCCUGAAUUACCAGUAGAUCAAUAAAGAAAUUAAGAAGGGAAGUGAAAAAUUUCAGCCCACUUUCACUACUGUGAUUCAACACAGUACUAGAAGUCCUAGCUGGAGCAAUCAGAUAAGAGAAGGAAAUAAACACAUCCCAAUUGGAAUGGAAAAAGUCAAGUUAUCCUUGUUUUUAGAUGAUAUAAUCUUAUAUUUGAAAAAACAUAAAGAUUCCACAAAAAAACAUUAGAUCUGAUAAACAAAUUCAGUCAAGUUGCAGAAUACAAAAUCAACAUGCAAAAAUUAGUAGCAUUUCUGUAUGCUAACAGUGAACAACAUAAAAUGAAAUCAAGAAAGUAACCCCCUUCACAAUAGGUAAAAUAAAAUACCCAUAAAUUAGCUUAACCAAAGAAGUGAAAAAUAUCUACAAGAAAAGCUGUGAAACAUUGAAAUAAAUUGACUAGGAAGCAAAAAAAUAGAAAGAUAUUCCAUGUUCAUGAUUUGGAAGAAUAUUGUUAAAAUGUCCAUACUACCCAAAGCAAUCUACAGAUUAAAUGCAAUCCCUCUUAAUAUACCCAUGACAUCCUUCAUAGAAAUAGGAAAAAUAAUCCUAAAAUUUAUAUGGAACCACAAAAGACCCAGAAUAGCCAAAGCUAUCCUGAGCAAAAUAAAACUGUAGGAACCACAUUACCUGACUGCAAAGCAGAAUGGAACUAGCAUAAAAAGAGACAUAUAGACCAAUGGAACAGAAUAGAGAACAAAGAGUAAACUUAUUGUCAACAAAAAUGCCAAGAACACUCACUGGGAAAAGAACACUCUCCUCAAUAAACGGUGCUGGGAAAACUGGAUAUCCAUAUGCAGAAGAAUGAAACUACACCCUUACCUCUUUCCAUAUAUAAAAGUCAAAUCAGAAUAGAUUAAAGACCUAACUCUGAGACCUCAAAAUAUGAAACUAUGAAAUAAAACUUUUGGGGAAAUUCUUCAGGACAUUGGAAUUGGCAACGAUGUGUUGAGUGAUACCCCCUAAUGCACAGGCAACCAAAGCAAAAAUAGACAAAUGGGAUCACAUCAAGUUAAAAACCUUCCAUACAGCAAAGAAGACAAUAAACAAAGUGAAAAGACAAACCACAGAAUGGGAGAAAAUAUUUGCAAACUACCCAUCUGAGAAGGGAUUAAUAACCAGAAUACAUAAAGAGUUCAAACAAUUCUAUAGGAAAAAAUCUAAUAAUCUGAUUAAAAAUGGGCAAAAGAUGUGAAUAGACAUUUCUGAAAUGAAGAUAUGCAAAUGGCAAACGGGUACAUGGAAAGGUACUCAACAUCAUUGAUCAGAGAAAUGAAAAUCAAAACUAUAACGAGACCAAAUCUCACCCCAGUUAAAGUUUAUCCAAAAGUCAGGCAAUAACAAAUGCUGGUGAGGAUGUGGAGAAAUGGGAACCCUUGAACAGUAUUGGUGCAAAUGUAUGUUUUAUUAAAACUACUAUGGAGUAUAGUUUGGCGUUUCCUCAGAAAACUAAAAAUAGAGCUAACAUAUGAUCCAGCAAUUCUACUCCUAGUUAUAUACUCAAGAGAAAGAAAAUCAGUAUAUUGGAGAGAUAUCUGCAUUCCUAUGUUUAUUGGAGCACAACUCACAAUAGCCAAGAUUUAAAAGCAAACUAAGUGUCCAUCAGCAGAUGAAUAGAUAAAAAGUAGUACAUACAUACAAUGGAGUACUAUUGAGCCAUAAAAAAGAAUGAAAUCCUGUUAUUUGCAACAACAUGGAUGGAACUGGAGGUCAUUAUGUUAAGUGAAAUAAGCCAGGCACAGAAAGACAAACAUCACAUGCUCCCAAUUAUUUUGGGGAGCUAAAAAUUAAAACAAUUUAAUUGAUGGAGAUAGAGGGUAUAAUGAUGGUAACCAGAGGCUGGGAAUGGUGUUUGGGGGUCGGGGAAGUUGGGAUGGUUAACACUUAUAAAAAUAUUGGCUGGGUGCGGUGGCUCACAUCUGCAAUCCCAGCAUUUUGGGAGGCCAAGGUGGGUGGAUCACCUGAGGUCAGGAGCUCGAGACCAGCCUGGCCAACAUGGUGAAACCCCGUCAUUACUAAAAAUACAAAAAUUAGUCAGGCAUGGUGGUGCACGCCUGUAAUCCCAGCUACUCAGAAGGCUGAGGCAUGAGAAUCACUCGAACCCAGGAGGCGGAGGUUGCAGUGAGCUGAGAUUACACCACUGCACUACAGCCUGGGCAACAGAGUGAGACUCCAUCUCAAAAAAAAAUUGUUAGAAUAAACAAGAUUUAGUAUUUUUAAAUAACUAAAAGUAUAAUUGGACUGUUUGUAAGAGAAAUAAAGGAUAAAUGCUUGAAGUUGUAGAUAUUCAAUUUAUCCUCAUUUGAUUAUUACACAUUGUAUACCUGUAUUAAGAUAUCUCAUAUACCCCAUAAAUAUAUAUACCUAGUAUGUACCCAGAAAAAUUAAAAAUAAAAAAAAAACUUGUUUUAAAAGGCAUAGAGUGGCUGAAUGAAUAAAGAAACAACCUGGGGAGUAGUGGCCAAGAUGGUCAUCUAGAAGCAGCUAGGUUGUGUGGCUCUCACGAAGAGGAACAGAAGGGGUGAAUAAAUACAAGACCUUCAACCAAAAUAUUCAGUUACUCACAUUGGGAUUAAUCUAGGAAACAACUUGACCCACAGAGAACAAAGAAAAGCAAGAGGACAACAGCCCAUCUGGGAGCAACACGGAGGCAGGUGAAUCCUCCUCCACCCAGGGAAGCCAUGCUUCUCCCACAGAUCUUUGCAACCCUUGGGUAAGGAGAUUUCCUUGAGAACCCACCCCACCAGGGCCCUCAGUCUUCAGUCUGACAAAUAGAGUUACAUUGAGUCUUGGCAGAGCAGCCGCUCAGGCAUGUGUGGAGACACUGGAGCCUUAGAAACUUGGGCGUUUCAGCAAAAGUAGCUGCAGCUCCCACAAAGUGGGAGGUUAGACUCCUGUACAUAGCCCUAGGAAAGAAGCUGAAUCCAGGGGGCUGAGCAGUAACAGCCCACAGGCCUCACUUCCAUGGCACCUCACAAGAUAAGAUCCACUGGCUUGGAAUUCCAGUCAGCUAGCAGUAGCAGCAUUGCACUUCCCUAAAAAGGAGCUCCUGGUGGGAGGGGCGAGCCACCGUCUUUGCUUUUCAGGUGCCUUAGUCGUUCCAGCCUUCAGGCUUUGAGAGUCUAGCUGACCUGGGGCAAAAGGGAUUCCCCAGCACAGCCUAGCUCCUCUACCAAAACAAAGCCAGACUGCUGCUUUAGGCCGGCGCCUGAUCCUGUUCUUCCUCACUGGUCAGGUCCUCCCAACCAGGGCCUCCGGCCACCCCCACCCAAUCUCUCCAACUGAC